Molecule: ribosomal RNA, 255 nt
Filed under: uncultured bacterium
Lineage: Bacteria
Description: partial 16S ribosomal RNA
Rfam family: Bacterial small subunit ribosomal RNA
Source: RNAcentral
UACGUAGGGUGCGAGCGUUAAUCGGAAUUACUGGGCGUAAAGCGUGCGCAGGCGGUCUGUUAAGACCGAUGUGAAAUCCCCGGGCUUAACCUGGGAACUGCAUUGGUGACUGGCAGGCUUUGAGUGUGGCAGAGGGAGGUAGAAUUCCACGUGUAGCAGUGAAAUGCGUAGAGAUGUGGAGGAAUACCGAUGGCGAAGGCAGCCUCCUGGGCCAACACUGACGCUCAUGCACGAAAGCGUGGGGGAGCAAACAGG